Molecule: long non-coding RNA, 504 nt
Organism: Megalopta genalis
Lineage: Eukaryota; Metazoa; Arthropoda; Insecta; Hymenoptera; Halictidae
Source: RefSeq, a predicted model, not a curated record
UGCGGUGUACGUACCGCCGAGUUGCUACUUGUUACACCGCGUUACUUUUGUUUCGAUCCCGUCUGUAUAAAUCGUACCUUUUAGCGUGUCUCAAUGAUGUCCGAAUUUCGUAGAAAUGUUUAUAAAAUGCAGAGAUCAAGUCUUUCGAAUUUUUUUCACGAGAUGCAGUCCAAUUCUAGCACUCUGGCAUCAACCAAUAAAGGACGUGGAUACACACACACAAUGCAGAAUGGGAAAUUUUCUCUAAAAAAAGCGACCUACGCAACGAUGCGAAAAAUAUAACAGAUCCAAUAGCAAUAUUGAAAUUAUUUUUUGAUGCGCAGUUUGUAAAAAUUAUUAUGGAUGAGACAAAUAGGUACGCCGAGCAAAAUUUAUGUAAUAAAAUACUUCCACUAAGAUCACCACUAAGACAAUGGACACUUGUAUCGAUAGAUGGAAUGUUAUGAUGCUAGCAUUUGAUUUAUUGAUGGCGAUGGUAAAUAAUAAAUCCACCAUGAAAGCAUA